This 492-nucleotide ribosomal RNA is filed under the name uncultured bacterium. RNAcentral describes it as "partial 16S ribosomal RNA". It matches the Rfam family "Bacterial small subunit ribosomal RNA", at positions 29 to 507 of the family's 1533-position model. The record is from RNAcentral.
AGUGAACGCUGGCGGUAGGCCUAACACAUGCAAGUCGAACGGCAGCACAGUAAGAGCUUGCUCUUACGGGUGGCGAGUGGCGGACGGGUGAGGAAUACAUCGGAAUCUACUUUUUCGUGGGGGAUAACGUAGGGAAACUUACGCUAAUACCGCAUACGACCUACGGGUGAAAGCAGGGGAUCUUCGGACCUUGCGCGAGUGAAUGAGUCGAUGUCGGAUUAGCUAGUUGGCGGGGUAAAGGCCCACCAAGGCGACGAUCCGUAGCUGGUCUGAGAGGAUGAUCAGCCACACUGGAACUGAGACACGGUCCAGACUCCUACGGGAGGCAGCAGUGGGGAAUAUUGGACAAUGGGCGCAAGCCUGAUCCAGCCAUACCGCGUGGGUGAAGAAGGCCUUCGGGCUGUAAAGCCCUUUUGUUGGGAAAGAAAAGCAGCAGGUUAAUACCCCGCUGUUCUGACGGUACCCAAGGAAUAAGCACCGGCUAACUUCGUG